Molecule: non-coding RNA, 296 nt
Organism: Pelobates cultripes (western spadefoot toad)
Lineage: Eukaryota; Metazoa; Chordata; Amphibia; Anura; Pelobatidae
Source: the annotation of a GenBank genome assembly
GAAAACACUGUUAGUCUCUCUGGUCUCAAGCACUUGUGCACAUGGCCUCCGCUAAUUUAGGUAAAGCGCCUGGGCUUCAGGUCGGAAAGGCAUUAUAGCUGGGUCUUGGAUGCGUUAUAGUGAUUGGGGCCACAGGGUGAGGAGCGGGAUCACCCACCACCGGUCCAGAGAGGGGAAGAACAGGGCCCGUUCCACGUAGUUUCAGGCUUCUGGCUGGACACUGUAAGUCAGGACAGCAGAGCAGCGGCUGUCUGCUCCACUCACCGCCGGAGUAGACCUCAUCUGAGACAACGAAG